UGGGGAAUAUUGGACAAUGGGCGAAAGCCUGAUCCAGCCAUGCCGCGUGAGUGACGAAGGCCUUAGGGUUGUAAAACUCUUUCGUCGGGGACGAUAAUGACGGUACCCGAAGAAGAAGCUCCGGCUAACUUCGUGCCAGCAGCCGCGGUAAUACGAAGGGGGCUAGCGUUGUUCGGAAUUACUGGGCGUAAAGCGCACGUAGGCGGAUUUGUAAGUCAGGGGUGAAAUCCCGGGGCUCAACCUCGGAACUGCCUUUGAUACUGCAAGUCUCGAGUCCGAUAGAGGUGAGUGGAAUUCCUAGUGUAGAGGUGAAAUUCGUAGAUAUUAGGAAGAACACCAGUGGCGAAGGCGGCUCACUGGAUCGGUACUGACGCUGAGGUGCGAAAGCGUGGGAGCAAACAGGAUUAGAUACCCAAGUAGUCCCUGAGCGGGCUGGCAAGGCGCAU
Molecule: ribosomal RNA, 446 nt
Filed under: uncultured bacterium
Lineage: Bacteria
Description: bacterial SSU rRNA
Rfam family: Bacterial small subunit ribosomal RNA
Source: RNAcentral